AACGCUAGCUACAGGCUUAACACAUGCAAGUCGAGGGGAAACGACAUCGAAAGCUUGCUUUUGAUGGGCGUCGACCGGCGCACGGGUGAGUAACGCGUAUCCAACCUGCCCACCACUUGGGGAUAACCUUGCGAAAGUAAGACUAAUACCCAAUGACGUCUCUAGAAGACAUCUGAAAGAGAUUAAAGAUUUAUCGGUGAUGGAUGGGGAUGCGUCUGAUUAGCUUGUUGGCGGGGUAACGGCCCACCAAGGCGACGAUCAGUAGGGGUUCUGAGAGGAAGGUCCCCCACAUUGGAACUGAGACACGGUCCAAACUCCUACGGGAGGCAGCAGUGAGGAAUAUUGGUCAAUGGGCGAGAGCCUGAACCAGCCAAGUAGCGUGCAGGAAGACGGCCCUAUGGGUUGUAAACUGCUUUUAUAUGGGGAUAAAGUGAGUUACGUGUAGCUUAUUGCAGGUACCAUAUGAAUAAGGACCGGCUAAUUCCGUGCCAGCAGCCGCGGUAACACGGAAGGUCCAGGCGUUAUCCGGAUUUAUUGGGUUUAAAGGGAGCGUAGGCCGCCCCUUAAGCGUGUUGUGAAAUGCCGCGGCUCAACCGUGGCACUGCAGCGCGAACUGGGGGGCUUGAGUGCACGCAACGCAGGCGGAAUUCGUGGUGUAGCGGUGAAAUGCUUAGAUAUCACGAAGAACUCCGAUUG
RNAcentral lists this ribosomal RNA (696 nucleotides) under uncultured bacterium. RNAcentral's name for it is "bacterial SSU rRNA". It matches the Rfam family "Bacterial small subunit ribosomal RNA", at positions 32 to 715 of the family's 1533-position model. The record is from RNAcentral.